This 487-nucleotide ribosomal RNA is filed under the name uncultured bacterium. RNAcentral describes it as "bacterial SSU rRNA". It matches the Rfam family "Bacterial small subunit ribosomal RNA", at positions 28 to 505 of the family's 1533-position model. The record is from RNAcentral.
GACGAACGCUGGCGGUGUGCUUAACACAUGCAAGUGGUGCGACGAACCAGGCUUCGGCCUGGGGCAAAGCCGCGAGCGGUGAGUAACACGUGGGUAAUCUGCCCCGAUGACCGGGACAACCCGAGGAAACUCGGGCUAAUACCGGAUGUGGUGCCCAGACAUAAGUCUGGUCACUAAAGGUAGCUUCGGCUUCCGCAUUGGGAGGGGCCCGCGGCCCAUUAGCUUGUUGGUGGGGUCAAGGCCUACCAAGGCAACGAUGGGUAGCUGGUCUGAGAGGACGAUCAGCCACACUGGGACUGAGACACGGCCCAGACUCCUACGGGAGGCAGCAGUGGGAAUCUUGCGCAAUGCGCGAAAGCGUGACGCAGCAACACCGCGUGAGGGAAGACGGCCUUAGGGUUGUAAACCUCUUUCAGAUGGGACAAGGUUGUCCGGUUAAUAGCCAGAUAAUUGACGGUACCGUCAGAAGAAGCUCCGGCUAACUACG